CUACGGGUUGCUGCAGUCGAGGAAAUUUUACAAUGCUCGCAAGAGUGAUAAAAUAAGCCAGAGUGUUUCUUUUAAAGAAACUUUUAUCUACUGUAAAAAAGCAGAUGAAUAAGGACUGGGCAAGACCGGUGCCAGCCGCCGCGGUAAUACCGGCGGUCCAAGUCGUAUCCAUAUUUAUUGGGUCUAAAACAUUCGUAGCUUGUUUGAUAAGUCUCUUGUGAAAUCUGAUAUCUUAAAUAUCAGGCGCGCAAGAGAUACUGUCUUACUAGAGACCGGAAGACGCAAAGAGUAUGGUUGAGGUAGCGGUAAAAUGUGUUAAUCUCAAUUAGACUAACAAUGGCGAAGGCACUUUGCGAGUACGGAUCUGACAGUGAGGAAUGAAGGCUAGGGGCGCAAAAGGGAUUAGAUACCCCAGUAGUC
This 420-nucleotide ribosomal RNA is filed under the name uncultured archaeon. RNAcentral's name for it is "partial 16S ribosomal RNA". It matches the Rfam family "Archaeal small subunit ribosomal RNA", at positions 323 to 746 of the family's 1478-position model. The record is from RNAcentral.